UGAUAAUGUCCCUCCUGCGUUACAAAUGC
This 29-nucleotide small RNA is filed under the name Bombyx mori (domestic silkworm). RNAcentral's name for it is "ovarian small RNA-32368". The record is from RNAcentral. Lineage: Eukaryota; Metazoa; Arthropoda; Insecta; Lepidoptera; Bombycidae.